Long non-coding RNA from Ziziphus jujuba (common jujube), 345 nucleotides. RefSeq lists it as uncharacterized. NCBI's taxonomy places the organism in Eukaryota, Viridiplantae, Streptophyta, Magnoliopsida, Rosales, Rhamnaceae. The record is from RefSeq and is a predicted model, not a curated record. The transcript is spliced from 2 exons.
CCCGAUCUCUAACUCUCUCACGAUUACCUCUGCUGCUCUUUAUCAUAUCAUCAAGAGACAUAUCCAAAGGAGUAGUCAUUGAUUCAAAGGUACAGGUAAAGCGAAGUUCCAGAAAUACAAAAGGAAUAAAAAGUAGACCUGCAGAUGAUCAGUAAAGACUCGGAAGAAAACUAAAGAAGAACGAUCAACGGAGAUCGAGUAAAGAGAGAGAGAGAGAGGAAGAGGGAGACAAAAAGUUUAGGGGAAAAGUAGGGUUUUUCGUUUUUCUUUUUUACGAGGAAGGAGGUGAGAGAUUCAUGGCGAAACGAGAGCGACGAGACACACACACACACACACACACACACA